This 442-nucleotide ribosomal RNA is filed under the name uncultured bacterium. RNAcentral describes it as "partial 16S ribosomal RNA". It matches the Rfam family "Bacterial small subunit ribosomal RNA", at positions 338 to 795 of the family's 1533-position model. The record is from RNAcentral.
CCUACGGGGGGCAGCAGUAGGGAAUCUUUCACAAUGGGCGAAAGCCUGAUGGAGCAACGCCGCGUGCAGGAUGAAGGCCUUCGGGUUGUAAACUGCUUUUAUAAGCGAGAAAUAUGAUGGUAACUUAUGAAUAAGGAUCGGCUAACUACGUGCCAGCAGCCGAGGUCAUACGUAGGAUCCGAGCAUUAUCCGGAGUGACUGGGUGUAAAGAGUUGCGUAGGUGGCAUAAUAAGUAGAUAGUGAAAUCUGGUGGCUCAACCAUUCAGACUAUUAGCUAAACUGUUAAGCUCGAGACCGUUAGGGGUAACUGGAAUUUCUAGUGUAGGAGUGAAAUCCGUAGAUAUUAGAAGGAACACCAAUAGCGUAGGCAGGUUGCUGGGACGGUUCUGACACUAAGGCACGAAAGCGUAGGGAGCAAACGGGAUUAGAUACCCCAGUAGUC